This 1302-nucleotide long non-coding RNA is filed under the name Mus spicilegus (steppe mouse). RNAcentral's name for it is "lncRNA (ENSMSIG00000029836.1)". Lineage: Eukaryota; Metazoa; Chordata; Mammalia; Rodentia; Muridae. The record is from RNAcentral.
CGAAUUCCCCACGUGCCUGUCUGUCUCUGACAGCUCGCGCAAAAUACUUGGCUGAGCAGGCGCCCGCUGUUCUGAGCCUGCUGUGCCUCCUCCCCAUCUUCCCAGGGGGUUCUGUAGACACAGCCAGGGAUGGGAAGGGACUGGAGCCCAGGGCCUGGUGGACAGUUGGGGGAAAGAAAGGGCCAGAGAGACCAGUUUCAAUUCACACGACUCUAUUCCCAGUUCCUGGCUCUGAGCAUGGGGGACAGGGGAGGCUACUGUGAGCAAGCCAGUCUUGUCUGGGUGGCAGCUGCCUAUAUCCCUUCUGCUCUCUCACCUUCUCAGGAGGCCUUGCCAGGGGUUUCCCAUUCCCCUGGGCAAAUGAAACCACACCUGCCGCUCCGUGUCGCUCCACUAUGCCCCUCUUCCCAGGAAUCCAGCUAACCCCUGCCCAGACUAAUGGGGAGAAGAGAGGAGAGGACUCAGUGGCUGGCGGAAGGCCAGUGUCCCAGGCUCUUCUGGACCAUCCUGUCAUUCUCCACAGCCUAACAGUGGUCCCAGGAAGACUCCUAGCCUUGCUGUUGAGGUGAGCCCCACACUGUGGGACAAAGCCUCCUCUCUCCAUUGCACAGAUGGGGUUGCUGAGGACCCCAGGGGAGGGGAGCUGCAGGCAGCCAUGAGUCAGAGGGGGAGCUGGGAAGCCGCCCGGCCCUGCCUGCUGUCGCUGGAAGCAACAGCCUGCGUUUCCUCCUCACACUGGUGUCUCGGGAAGCGUGGGCAGCAGGCGGCAGGCUGCCACAGGGAGGACCCCUCCUGUGUCUGCAGGCCAGCCACAGCCCCUUGCUGCCUGACUGGGCCCAGAGCCCACCCUCUCCACGUAGAACUGGCCUUUCAGUCCCUGGAAUAGGUUCUUGUCCCUGGAGGUCUCCUGGCUCUGCAACCUCAGGAGAGCCCCAAGCCCAGCCCCAUUCCAGUCCCACUCUCCCGUGUUCUCUAGCGUCGUCAAACAAGGUGACUGAAGCGUGGCCAUGCAUGCUUCCUCCCCGAAGGAAAACCUACUCUUUGGUGACUGUAGAAUCCCAACAUGACAAGAAUGCCAACUUAACACAUCUUUUCAUUGCAAACAGUCUAUGAUUCUAGACUCCUGUCACUAAGAUUCUAGACUGCCAAAAUCCUACAGCUCUGGGAAGGGGCCACUGGGCCCACCCACCUCCACCUCCGACCAAUCUCUCACCAAAGCUUUUGGGAAGAGGGCUGGGCUGGAGAGGGUCAACAGGAAAUGACAUAAAGCUGGGGUAUACUAUGGGCUGGGGGAGGAACCAG